AGAGUUUGAUCCUGGCUCAGAUUGAACGCUGGCGGCACGCUUAACACAUGCAAGUCGAACGGCAGCACGUUGUGGGGUAACUCAUGAUGGUGGCGAGUGGCGGACGGGUGAGUAAAACGUAGGGAUCUGCCCUGAAGAGUGGGAUAACCCGAGGAAACUUGGGCUAAUACCGCAUAGACUCUGAGGAGUAAAGGUAGCCG
RNAcentral lists this ribosomal RNA (200 nucleotides) under uncultured bacterium. RNAcentral's name for it is "partial 16S ribosomal RNA". It matches the Rfam family "Bacterial small subunit ribosomal RNA", at positions 8 to 213 of the family's 1533-position model. The record is from RNAcentral.